Long non-coding RNA from Triticum aestivum (bread wheat), 1117 nucleotides. RefSeq lists it as uncharacterized. The record is from RefSeq and is a predicted model, not a curated record. NCBI's taxonomy places the organism in Eukaryota, Viridiplantae, Streptophyta, Magnoliopsida, Poales, Poaceae. The transcript is spliced from 3 exons.
UACGCCAGAGUACAGUGGAUCGCUAUCCCGCGUUCGAUUUACUCUACCAAACAAAAAGAAAAACGAAGGCAAGGGAGAGAGAGAUCGACCGACGCGGGGAUCAGAUCCAGCCGGCGCGAGCGAUGUGUGAAACAUGGAAAUCAAUGCGGGCGAUCCGUCUGUGAGGGAGAAUUGAGGGGAUCCAGCCGACGCUGGCGAGCAGUCAAGCGGAAAGGGGAUGCAAAGCAGCCGAGCAGCCAUGCGCGUCUCCCCGGCUGAUGCGGAAACGGGAUGCGAACCUGAUCCGCCGGCAUUUGAUGUGCUAUCAGAUACUAAUUGAUCGAAAUUUGUUCGGAGAACUAGGGAAGGUCGGUUCCGGUAUAUAUGCGUUUGGCAGUGAAGGUUUGAGAAUUGGAGAAUUGGGGAAGGUUUGUUCAAUGAAGGUUGGUCGCAAAGCCAUCAAUUCUCAUGGGCUUUUUCGAGUGCUUUGCAAGUACACAUGAUGGUUCAAAUGGGGACGACAUGCUAUUGAUUUUCACGCCCGCUAUGUGCUCUUCCUCACCCCCAGGCAAGAUCCAAAGGACCCUCGUAUUGGUUGAUUGCCCGGCCGGGAUGUGGUGCUGCAAAAUAAACGCCCAGUUCGUCCAAAGAGUAAGAUUGGUGCCUUCCUUAUCAUGUUUCUUUGUUGUGAUAAGACAUUAUACGCCAUAUCUCUAGAUUUUCUGAAACCUGUGCUAAAAGUUGUCUACUUGAGUGUGACCUUCAUUGCCUAGGCUAUCUUAUCUUAUAAUUUUGAUGUGCUUCUUCUUAUGUGAGAAAUACUGGACCAGUAGCGUAUUUAAGUCUGUAUUCCCCUACUCAACCCCAUUAGUUGCUUUCCUAAUUUAUUUCCAUGACUUUGCUUAUUGCUUCUUAAAAAUAGCUAGAAAUGCUUAAUUACGGGAUUGACAGUGUUCUGAGCUUCAGAUUCAUCAAGGCGUCAGAGCGAGCAACAACAUUCUCCUGUAUUUUUUGCAGUGAAUGUAUGAUUCUUUCCUGCCAUGUUGCCAAGUUUGAACCUAGCUAUUUGAUGCUGUCAUCCGAUGUGUUAUUGUAAGUUGUAUCAACUAGACGGAUUACAUCAAUUCAUAGUGUUUUA